RNAcentral lists this long non-coding RNA (427 nucleotides) under Linum usitatissimum (flax). RNAcentral describes it as "long non-coding RNA (LUSI_LNC004087)". The record is from RNAcentral. Lineage: Eukaryota; Viridiplantae; Streptophyta; Magnoliopsida; Malpighiales; Linaceae.
UCCGGUUUCAUGGGUGACAUGGGCGAAGAAGGCCGCAAUCUCACGCCUAGAAGCUUCUGCUGAGAGACCCCGAAUGGCGAAGAGAGGGUAAGAUCUUGCGGCCUGGAGAAAGGCCUCUCGAGUGUAGAAUGACUUUCCGGGGCAGUUGUUGGGGGCACGGUUGCGAAUGCCUUCGAAGAAAGUUGGAGUGACGAUGUUGGCUAGCAGACCCUGACCGACCUGAGCCUCCACGACCGUGAUGGGGACGGCGAAGGAGGCUAUAAGUAUGGCUAUGGUGGAGAUGAGAAGUUGAAGGUUGCCCAUGGUUGAAGACAUUAAGGGAGUGGUGUGGAUGUGAGUGUGUGGUUGAUGGGGGCAUGCAAGAGCUAUUUAUAGAAAUGGGUGUGGUGGCUUAAGCAGGAAGCACCACUCUAGUGUUUAUCCAUCA